UGGGGAAUAUUGCACAAUGGGCGCAAGCCUGAUGCAGCCAUGCCGCGUGUAUGAAGAAGGCCUUCGGGUUGUAAAGUACUUUCAGUCGGGAGGAAGGUGGUAAGGUUAAUAACCUUAUCAAUUGACGUUACCGACAGAAGAAGCACCGGCUAACUCCGUGCCAGCAGCCGCGGUAAUACGGAGGGUGCAAGCGUUAAUCGGAAUUACUGGGCGUAAAGCGCACGCAGGCGGUUGAUUGAGUCAGAUGUGAAAUCCCCGGGCUUAACCCGGGAAUUGCAUCUGAUACUGGGCAGCUAGAGUCUUGUAGAGGGGGGUAGAAUUCCAUGUGUAGCGGUGAAAUGCGUAGAGAUGUGGAGGAAUACCGGUGGCGAAGGCGGCCCCCUGGACAAAGACUGACGCUCAGGUGCGAAAGCGUGGGGAGCAAACAGG
Molecule: ribosomal RNA, 429 nt
Filed under: Chloroflexota bacterium
Lineage: Bacteria; Bacillati; Chloroflexota
Description: Chloroflexi bacterium partial 16S ribosomal RNA
Rfam family: Bacterial small subunit ribosomal RNA
Source: RNAcentral